AAUCUUGGCUCGCUGCAAGCUCCGCCUCCCGGGUUCGGCUGUUCUCAGAGAUUUGUGUGUCUGCCAGAGGGAGGUGGUCGGUGUUUGCAACGUGGCUUUCUGCUUGGAAGGACUGUGGCUCCGUGUCUCAGAGUUCUGGGCCUUGGGUGUCUCAUGGGCCUGGUGCUGGGCAGCAGCGUGGAGCUGCCAGCAAGAGCAGCCUCCCUUCUGCUCUCAAGACUCAGGCCUUGGGAACAAGGCUGUGACUGUUGUUACCCACACACGCAUGUGAGUGUGCAGCCUCUCCGGGGAGAGUGGGUGACCUGGGGGAGUCAAGGCAGGUGGAACAAGCCAUCCACUUCUGCACUGGUGCCGUCCACUCAGAGAACCCGUCUAGCAGCGGAGAUGCUGCUCCCAAGCUGAGAGAUGUGGUCCUGCGGGGGCUGGUGGGGGCAGAAGACAUUUCCUCAAGACACUGGCAGUUACUGGAGGAAGGUGAGAGCUUCUUUGCAGGGUGGCAUCCGGCUCUGGUGGUGACGUUUUAAAGACGAAGAUCCUGCGUGUACACGGCUGUGAGGCAGACAGCCCGUAAUCAGUGCGACUCCAUGCCGUGCCACACACCUUAUUUUAAGCCACGUGUUUCCUUUAUGAAAAUAGAGCAAAAGGACUAUUAAGAGGGAGAACAGGAGUGUCACCGGAAGCCCCAGACUCAAGGCCCUGCUGUUCUGCCCCCUUGGCCGUUAUCCAGCCCACGGUGGUCUCCACGAGCCCCUGCUCCUGUCCAGGCUCCAAAUCACAUCGACAUGACAGUUGGUGCCGACCUGACAGGCAGUAGGUGAAUCCCUUCAAAACUCUUCCUUCUCUCUUUUUUUUUUAAGUCUUUAACAGACCUCCCUAGAACCCUGAAAUUUGGGUUUCCACACUUUCUUCAAUACAGUUGUUUCUGAGGACCAUAAAUGCUGAGUCCUGAAGCAUGUGCUGUGUGUCCUGGAGGGGCCAGUGUGGUGUGUGGUGUAUGAUCUGGAGGCUCCCCGGGGGCUCCUGGCAACAAGCUGCAGGACGCACACCUUCUCAGAACCAGCG
Molecule: long non-coding RNA, 1062 nt
Filed under: Homo sapiens (human)
Lineage: Eukaryota; Metazoa; Chordata; Mammalia; Primates; Hominidae
Description: HSALNT0344537
Source: RNAcentral